UUGGCGGGGGGGCCUAUAAAUGCAAGUCGAGCGAAUCGAUGGGAGCUUGCUCCCUGAGAUUAGCGGCGGACGGGUGAGUAACACGUGGGCAACCUGCCUAUAAGACUGGGAUAACUUCGGGAAACCGGAGCUAAUACCGGAUACGUUCUUUUCUCGCAUGAGAGAAGAUGGAAAGACGGUUUCUGCUGGCCCUUUUAAAUGGGCCCGCGGCGCAUUAACUAGUUGGGGGGGGAAUGGGUCCCCCAGGGGACCAAGCCUAACCCAACUGAAAGGGUGAUCGGGCCCCCUGGGACUGAAACACCGGCCAAAAUCCUACCGGAGGGAACAGUAAGGAAUCCUCCCCAAUGGACGAAAGUCUGGACGAACAACCCCCCGUGGACGAAGAAAGGCUUCCGGUCCUAAAGUUCUGGUGGUAAGGAAAAACCAGUACCAGAAUAACUGGUGGGACCUUGGCGGGACCUAACCCGAAAGCCACCGCUAACUACCUGGCCGCCGCCCCGGUAAUACCUAAGUGGGAAGCGUUGGCCGGAAUUAUUGGGCGUAAAGCGCGCGCAAGGGGUUCCCUAAGUCCGAAGGGAAAGCCCCCGGCUCCACCCUGGAAGGGCAUUGGAAACUGGGGAACUUGAAUGGAAAAAAAGAAAGUGGAAUUCCCAGUGGAACGGUGAAAUGCCUAAAAAUUUGGAAGAACCCCGUGGCCAAAGCCACUUUCUGGGCUGGAACUGACCUGAAGCGCCAAAGCCUGGGGAACAAACCAGAAUAAAUCCCUGGUAGUCACGCCGUAACCAUGAAUGCUAAGUGUUAAAGGUUUCCGCCCUUUAAUGGUGCAGCUAACGCAUUAAGCACUCCGCCUGGGGAGUACCGCCGCAAGGCUGAAACUCAAAGGAAUUGACGGGGGCCGCACCAGCGGGGAACCUGUGGUUAAUUCGAAGCACGCGAAAACCUUACCAGGCUUGACUCCUCUGACACCCUAGAGAUAGGCGUUCCCUUCGGGGACAAAUG
RNAcentral lists this ribosomal RNA (999 nucleotides) under Bacillus sp. (in: firmicutes). RNAcentral describes it as "bacterial SSU rRNA". It matches the Rfam family "Bacterial small subunit ribosomal RNA", at positions 36 to 1033 of the family's 1533-position model. Lineage: Bacteria; Bacillati; Bacillota; Bacilli; Caryophanales; Bacillaceae. The record is from RNAcentral.